This 562-nucleotide unclassified non-coding RNA is filed under the name Hevea brasiliensis (rubber tree). Lineage: Eukaryota; Viridiplantae; Streptophyta; Magnoliopsida; Malpighiales; Euphorbiaceae. The record is from RNAcentral.
AAACGAACGGAAGAAAGUCGCCGUCACCAGCGCCGGCAAAUACAAUCGCCGGCCACCGGUUCUGAUAUUCGUUCUCAGUCGAAGACUUUAUUCCAGUUUGUUGGAGUGAUAGUGAAAGAUGGGUUCUUUUAAGAGGAAGUCGCAAGAAUUCUCCAAUGAGGAUGAUAUUCCUCCAAGUAAACAGCUAAAACAAAAUGAUUUACUUGGUGCAGAUGAGCCAGUGACAUGUCUGCAUGAUGUGUCAUAUCCAGAAGGGUAUGUUCCCUCUGCUUCAACUUCUGGUUUGCCUCAACAAGAUUCAAAACCUGCUAAAGAGUUCCCUUUUCCACUCGACCCUUUUCAAUCUGAAGCAAUCAACUGUAUUAAUAAUGGCGAAUCCGUCAUGGUAUCAGCACACACGUCAGCGGGAAAGACAGUUGUGGCAUUAUAUGCAAUUGCCUUGUCGUUGAAGAAUAACCAGCGAGUGGUAUAUACUUCACCAAUUAAGGCUCUUAGUAAUCAGAAGUAUAGAGAAUUCAAAGAGGAGUUUUCAGAUGUGGGUUUGAUGACUGGAGAUGUCACA